UGGGGAAUUUUGGACAAUGGACGCAAGUCUGAUCCAGCCAUGCCGCGUGCGGGAAGAAGGCCUUCGGGUUGUAAACCGCUUUUGUCAGGGAAGAAACGAGUUUCUCUAAUACAGAGACUUAAUGACGGUACCUGGAUAAUAAGCACCGGCUAACUACGUGCCAGCAGCCGCGGUAAUACGUAGGGUGCAAGCGUUAAUCGGAAUUACUGGGCGUAAAUCGUGCGCAGGCGGUUAUGUAAGACAGAUGUGAAAUCCCCGGGCUCAACCUGGGAACUGCAUUUGUGACUGCAUAGCUAGAGUACGGCAGAGGGGGAUGGAAUUCCGCGUGUAGCAGUGAAAUGCGUAGAUAUGCGGAGGAACACCGAUGGCGAAGGCAAUCCCCUGGGCCUGUACUGACGCUCAUGCACGAAAGCGUGGGGAGCAAACA
Molecule: ribosomal RNA, 427 nt
Filed under: uncultured bacterium
Lineage: Bacteria
Description: bacterial SSU rRNA
Rfam family: Bacterial small subunit ribosomal RNA
Source: RNAcentral